UAGGGUUUGAUCCUGGCUCAGAACGAACGCUGGCGGCAGGCCUAACACAUGCAAGUCGAGCGCGCCCUUCGGGGUGAGCGGCGGACGGGUUAGUAACGCGUGGGAACGUACCCAGAUCUACGGAAUAGCCUUUGGAAACGAAGAGUAAUACCGUAUACGCCCUUCGGGGGAAAGAUUUAUCGGAUUUGGAUCGGCCCGCGUUAGAUUAGAUAGUUGGUGGGGUAAUGGCCUACCAAGUCUACGAUCUAUAGCUGGUUUUAGAGGAUGAUCAGCAACACUGGGACUGAGACACGGCCCAGACUCCUACGGGAGGCAGCAGUGGGGAAUCUUAGACAAUGGGCGCAAGCCUGAUCUAGCCAUGCCGCGUGAGUGAUGAAGGCCUUAGGGUCGUAAAGCUCUUUCGCCAGGGAUGAUAAUGACAGUACCUGGUAAAGAAACCCCGGCUAACUCCGUGCCAGCAGCCGCGGUAAUACGGAGGGGGUUAGCGUUGUUCGGAAUUACUGGGCGUAAAGCGCGCGUAGGCGGACCAGAAAGUUGGGGGUGAAAUCCCGGGGCUCAACCCCGGAACUGCCUCCAAAACUCCUGAUCUAGAGUUCGAGAGAGGUGAGUGGAACUCCGAGUGUAGAGGUGAAAUUCGUAGAUAUUCGGAAGAACACCAGUGGCGAAGGCGGCUCACUGGCUCGAUACUGACGCUGAGGUGCGAAAGUGUGGGGAGCAAACA
This 721-nucleotide ribosomal RNA is filed under the name uncultured bacterium. RNAcentral's name for it is "bacterial SSU rRNA". It matches the Rfam family "Bacterial small subunit ribosomal RNA", at positions 1 to 774 of the family's 1533-position model. The record is from RNAcentral.